AACGAACGCUGGCGGCGUGUCUUAAGCAUGCAAGUCGUACGAGAAGCCAAAGCUUGCUUUGGCGGACAGUGGCAAACGGGUGAGUAACACGUGGGUAAUCUACCUUCGGAUGGGGGAUAGCACUAGGAAACUAGUAGUAAUACCGCAGAUUUCCUCCUUUCACAAGAAUGGGGGAUGAAAGGCGCCCUCUGUAUAUGGUGCCGUCUGAAGAUGAGCCCGCGCACUAUUAGCUUGUUGGCAGGGUAAGAGCCUACCAAGGCUAUGAUGGUUAGCCGGCCUGAGAGGGUGUACGGCCACAUUGGGACUGAGAUACGGCCCAGACUCCUACGGGAGGCAGCAGCUAAGAAUAUUCCGCAAUGGGCGAAAGCCUGACGGAGCGACGCCGCGUGGAGGAUGAAGGCUUUCGGGUUGUAAACUCCUUUUCUCGGGGAAGAAUAAAAUCGGAAGUAACUGUCCGGUUGAUGACGGUACCCGAGGAAUAAGCCCCGGCUAAUUACGUGCCAGCAGCCGCAGUAAUACGUAUGGGGCAAGCGUUGUUCGGAUUCACUGGGCGUAAAGGGCGAGUAGGUGGCGUGGUUAGUCGGAUGUGAAAUCUCCAGGCUUAACCUGGAAACUGCAUUCGAUACUGCCUUGCUUGAGUAUCGGAGAGGGAGACGGAAUUCCUGGUGUAGGGGUGAAAUCUGUAGAUAUCAGGAAGAACACCAGUGGCGAAGGCGGUCUCCUGGCCGGAUACUGACACUGAGGCGCGAAAGCUAGGGGAGCAAACAGGAUUAGAUACCCUGGUAGUCCUAGCUGUAAACGUUGUGCACUAGGUAUAAGUGGUUUUAAUCCACUUGUGCCGCAGCUAACGCAUUAAGUGCACCGCCUGGGGAGAUGCUCGCAAGGGU
Molecule: ribosomal RNA, 887 nt
Filed under: uncultured bacterium
Lineage: Bacteria
Description: bacterial SSU rRNA
Rfam family: Bacterial small subunit ribosomal RNA
Source: RNAcentral